Solanum tuberosum (potato) is the source of this 506-nucleotide long non-coding RNA. RefSeq lists it as uncharacterized. The transcript is spliced from 3 exons. Lineage: Eukaryota; Viridiplantae; Streptophyta; Magnoliopsida; Solanales; Solanaceae. The record is from RefSeq and is a predicted model, not a curated record.
AGAAGAAAAAAAAAAAAAAAAAAGAUGAGAGCAGCCGUUAAACAAGACUUUGUUGGGGCAAUAGCAACGAAGAGUGACAACUCUCCAGUUUAGGAAUGUUUUGAAACUUUGCAAAAAGGAAGGCAAAAUCUUGAGGAUUCGUGACACAUGUUCGACAUUCGAGAUUGAAUUUGAAUAUGAGCGCAUCUCGCGGAGCUUACCGAGUUUAAGCUUGAGUUAUCUUGGAGUUGUAGUGAGUUGCUUGGCUGAUCCAUGGUCCAAUCUCCCUCUAACUUUUUAUUCAUCCUGUUGGUCUAAUAUUAAGACAUGAUAUUUCUUACGUCUAGACAUAUCAUUUUAGUUUGAGAACGACAUCAUGUUUUAUAAGUUCAUGUACUUAUGACACUAAAUCUGGGAUAGUAUUUUAGCUUAUCACAUUUUAUAUUUGUGAAAGACUUAGUGUACAUGAUAUUUUACUUGUCACAUAUUUAAGUUGAAUUGGUAAACUUAUUGGGUUGACUUACAUA